RNAcentral lists this ribosomal RNA (229 nucleotides) under uncultured bacterium. RNAcentral's name for it is "partial 16S ribosomal RNA". It matches the Rfam family "Bacterial small subunit ribosomal RNA", at positions 568 to 796 of the family's 1533-position model. The record is from RNAcentral.
UGCGUAGGCGGUUAUAUUAGUCGGGUGUUAAAUCCUGAGGCUCAACCUCAGGCUCGCAUUCGAAACGGUAUAACUAGAGGAAGUCAGAGGUAAGCAGAACUCUCGGUGUAGGGGUGAAAUCCGUUGAUAUCGAGGGGAAUACCAAAUGCGAAGGCAGCUUACUGGGACUUUCCUGACGCUGAGGCACGAAAGCGUGGGUAGCGAACAGGAUUAGAUACCCUGGUAGUCC